This 631-nucleotide ribosomal RNA is filed under the name uncultured bacterium. RNAcentral's name for it is "bacterial SSU rRNA". It matches the Rfam family "Bacterial small subunit ribosomal RNA", at positions 232 to 873 of the family's 1533-position model. The record is from RNAcentral.
CGCGGCCUAUCAGCUUGUUGGUGAGGUAAUGGCUUACCAAGGCGACGACGGGUAGCCGGCCUGAGAGGGCGACCGGCCACACUGGGACUGAGACACGGCCCAGACUCCUACGGGAGGCAGUAGUGGGGAAUAUUGCACAAUGGGCGAAAGCCUGAUGCAGCGACGCCGCGUGAGGGAUGACGGCCUUCGGGUUGUAAACCUCUUUCAGCAGGGAAGAAGCGAAAGUGACGGUACCUGCAGAAGAAGCGCCGGCUAACUACGUGCCAGCAGCCGCGGUAAUACGUAGGGCGCAAGCGUUGUCCGGAAUUAUUGGGCGUAAAGAGCUCGUAGGCGGCUUGUCACGUCGGGUGUGAAAGCCCGGGGCUUAACCCCGGGUCUGCAUUCGAUACGGGCUAGCUAGAGUGUGGUAGGGGAGAUCGGAAUUCCUGGUGUAGCGGUGAAAUGCGCAGAUAUCAGGAGGAACACCGGUGGCGAAGGCGGAUCUCUGGGCCAUUACUGACGCUGAGGAGCGAAAGCGUGGGGAGCGAACAGGAUUAGAUACCCUGGUAGUCCACGCCGUAAACGGUGGGAACUAGGUGUUGGCGACAUUCCACGUCGUCGGUGCCGCAGCUAACGCAUUAAGUUCCCCGCC